GGAUCAGCCCACGGCCUAUCAGCUUGUUGGUGGGGUGAUGGCUCACCAAGGCGACGACGGGUAGCCGGCCUGAGAGGGCGACCGGCCACACUGGGACUGAGACACGGCCCAGACUCCUACGGGAGGCAGCAGUGGGGAAUAUUGCGCAAUGGGCGAAAGCCUGACGCAGCGACGCCGCGUGGGGGAUGACGGCCUUCGGGUUGUAAACCUCUUUCGCCAGGGACGAAGCGUGAGUGACGGUACCUGGAUAAGAAGCACCGGCCAACUACGUGCCAGCAGCCGCGGUAACACGUAGGGUGCGAGCGUUGUCCGGAAUUAUUGGGCGUAAAGAGCUCGUAGGCGGUCUGUCGCGUCGGUCGUGAAAACUUGGGGCUUAACCCUGAGCUUGCGGUCGAUACGGGCAUGACUGGAGUUCGGCAGGGGAGACUGGAAUUCCUGGUGUAGCGGUGAAAUGCGCAGAUAUCAGGAGGAACACCGGUGGCGAAGGCGGGUCUCUGGGCCGAUACUGACGCUGAGGAGCGAAAGCGUGGGGAGCGAACAGGAUUAGAUACCCUGGUAGUCCACGCCGUAAACGUUGGGCGCUAGGUGUGGGGGCCAUUCCACGGUCUCUGUGCCGCAGCUAACGCAUUAAGCGCCCCGCCUGGGGAGUACGGCCGC
RNAcentral lists this ribosomal RNA (657 nucleotides) under Pseudonocardia oroxyli. RNAcentral's name for it is "bacterial SSU rRNA". It matches the Rfam family "Bacterial small subunit ribosomal RNA", at positions 223 to 889 of the family's 1533-position model. The record is from RNAcentral. Lineage: Bacteria; Bacillati; Actinomycetota; Actinomycetes; Pseudonocardiales; Pseudonocardiaceae.